UGGCUCUGUGAGGUCGGCUCAA
Molecule: microRNA, 22 nt
Filed under: Equus caballus (horse)
Lineage: Eukaryota; Metazoa; Chordata; Mammalia; Perissodactyla; Equidae
Also listed under: 1 other name
Description: Eca-Mir-1842-v2_5p (mature (guide))
Source: RNAcentral